AACCAAUAAAAUCAAUCAUCUUCAGUUUUGAAAGACUUAGGCAACUAAGUUUUUCUUCGUGACUUCACGAAGGGCCUAUAGCUCAGUUGGUUAGAACACACGCCUGAUAAGCGUGAGGUCGGUGGUUCAAGUCCAUUUAGGCCCACCAGAGUUAUAGGUUUCGUAAGAACACAAAUUCUUUGAAAAUU
This 188-nucleotide unclassified non-coding RNA is filed under the name Tomato yellows phytoplasma. RNAcentral describes it as "16S-23S ribosomal RNA intergenic spacer". The stretch from base 72 to 145 matches the Rfam family "tRNA". Lineage: Bacteria; Bacillati; Mycoplasmatota; Mollicutes; Acholeplasmatales; Acholeplasmataceae. The record is from RNAcentral.